AUUUAAAUAGCUUACAUUUAGAGUUUAACAUUGAAGCUGUUAAGGUGGAAUUUUCCUUUAAAUA
RNAcentral lists this transfer RNA (64 nucleotides) under Neopsylla specialis. RNAcentral's name for it is "tRNA-Phe". Lineage: Eukaryota; Metazoa; Arthropoda; Insecta; Siphonaptera; Ctenophthalmidae. RNAcentral also lists the same sequence under 1 other name. The record is from RNAcentral.